Molecule: long non-coding RNA, 258 nt
Filed under: Hordeum vulgare
Lineage: Eukaryota; Viridiplantae; Streptophyta; Magnoliopsida; Poales; Poaceae
Description: long non-coding RNA (HVUL_LNC007276)
Source: RNAcentral
UUCUGUUAUGUUGAUAAAAACUCUUGCAUAUAGUCAUACUUUGCAUGAGUGCAUGUGAUGGAUAUUUUGUUGCUGAAUAUAUGCGAUGCAAAGGUGGGUGGGUACUACCUCAUGCCUCGUAUGACAUGUUGGUCUAAAAAAACCUUGGAGGAGUGUUUGUAAUGGUGAAUAUGAUACCAUGGGGCAGACAUCUCUGCGACGAGAGUGGUCAGUAAAAGGCGUGUCGGGGUGUGAUGCUCGUAACAGUCAGGUAUGUCA